Molecule: ribosomal RNA, 494 nt
Filed under: uncultured bacterium
Lineage: Bacteria
Description: partial 16S ribosomal RNA
Rfam family: Bacterial small subunit ribosomal RNA
Source: RNAcentral
GACGAACGCUGGCGGCGUGCUUAACACAUGCAAGUCGAACGGAAAGGCCUGCUUUCCCUUGUGGAUUGCGGGUACUCGAGUGGCGAACGGGUGAGUAACACGUGAGUGAUCUGCCCCCAACUUGGGUAUAAGCCUGGGAAACUGGGUCUAAUUCCCGAUAGGACUGCAGGGUGGUGCCUGUGGUGGAAAACGAUUUUCUAGUGGUUGGGGAUGAGCUCGCGGCCUAUCAGCUUGUUGGUGGGGUAAUGGCCUACCAAGGCGGCGACGGGUAGCCGGCCUGAGAGGGUGGACGGCCACAUUGAGACUGGGAUACGGCCCAGACUCCUACGGGAGGCAGCAGUGGGGAAUAGUGCACAAUGGGCGGAAGCCUGAUGCAGCGACGCCGCGUGGGGGAUGACGGCCUUCGGGUUGUAAACUCCUUUCGACCGCGAGGAAGCCACCUGGUUGGAAGGGUGGUGACGGUAGUGGUAGAAGAAGCACCGGCUAACUACGUG